GGAGAGAUGGCUGAGUGGAC
Molecule: transfer RNA, 20 nt
Filed under: Psathyrostachys juncea
Lineage: Eukaryota; Viridiplantae; Streptophyta; Magnoliopsida; Poales; Poaceae
Description: partial tRNA-Ser
Source: RNAcentral